AGAGUUUGAUCCUGGCUCAGGACGAACGCUGGCGGCGUGCCUAAUACAUGCAAGUAGAACGCUGAAGAGAGGAGCUUGCUCUUCUUGGAUGAGUUGCGAACGGGUGAGUAACGCGUAGGUAACCUGCCUUGUAGCGGGGGAUAACUAUUGGAAACGAUAGCUAAUACCGCAUAACAAUGGAUGACACAUGUCAUUUAUUUGAAAGGGGCAAUUGCUCCACUACAAGAUGGACCUGCGUUGUAUUAGCUAGUAGGUGAGGUAAUGGCUCACCUAGGCGACGAUACAUAGCCGACCUGAGAGGGUGAUCGGCCACACUGGGACUGAGACACGGCCCAGACUCCUACGGGAGGCAGCAGUAGGGAAUCUUCGGCAAUGGGGGCAACCCUGACCGAGCAACGCCGCGUGAGUGAAGAAGGUUUUCGGAUCGUAAAGCUCUGUUGUAAGUCAAGAACGGGUGUGAGAGUGGAAAGUUCACACUGUGACGGUAGCUUACCAGAAAGGGACGGCUAACUACGUGCCAGCAGCCGCGGUAAUACGUAGGUCCCGAGCGUUGUCCGAAUUUAUUGGGCGUAAAGCGAGCGCAGGCGGUUUGAUAAGUCUGAAGUUAAAGGCUGUGGCUCAACCAUAGUUCGCUUUGGAAACUGUCAAACUUGAGUGCAGAAGGGGAGAGUGGAAUUCCAUGUGUAGCGGUGAAAUGCGUAGAUAUAUGGAGGAACACCGGUGGCGAAAGCGGCUCUCUGGUCUGUAACUGACGCUGAGGCUCGAAAGCGUGGGGAGCGAACAGGAUUAGAUACCCUGGUAGUCCACGCCGUAAACGAUGAGUGCUAGGUGUUGGAUCCUUUCCGGGACUCAGUGCCGCAGCUAACGCAUUAAGCACUCCGCCUGGGGAGUACGACCGCAAGGUUGAAACUCAAAGGAAUUGACGGGGGCCCGCACAAGCGGUGGAGCAUGUGGUUUAAUUCGAAGCAACGCGAAGAACCUUACCAGGUCUUGACAUCCCGAUGCUAUUUCUAGAGAUAGAAAGUUACUUCGGUACAUCGGUGACAGGUGGUGCAUGGUUGUCGUCAGCUCGUGUCGUGAGAUGUUGGGUUAAGUCCCGCAACGAGCGCAACCCCUAUUGUUAGUUGCCAUCAUUCAGUUGGGCACUCUAGCGAGACUGCCGGUAAUAAACCGGAGGAAGGUGGGGAUGACGUCAAAUCAUCAUGCCCCUUAUGACCUGGGCUACACACGUGCUACAAUGGUUGGUACAACGAGUUGCGAGUCGGUGACGGCGAGCUAAUCUCUUAAAGCCAAUCUCAGUUCGGAUUGUAGGCUGCAACUCGCCUACAUGAAGUCGGAAUCGCUAGUAAUCGCGGAUCAGCACGCCGCGGUGAAUACGUUCCCGGGCCUUGUACACACCGCCCGUCACACCACGAGAGUUUGUAACACCCGAAGUCGGUGAGGUAACCUUUUGGAGCCAGCCGCCUAAGGUGGGACAGAUGAUUGGGGUGAAGUCGUAACAAGGUA
RNAcentral lists this ribosomal RNA (1506 nucleotides) under metagenome. RNAcentral's name for it is "bacterial SSU rRNA". It matches the Rfam family "Bacterial small subunit ribosomal RNA". The record is from RNAcentral.